UACGAAGGGGGCUAGCGUUGUUCGGAAUUACUGGGCGUAAAGCGCGCGUAGGCGGCGAUCUUUGUCAGAGGUGAAAUCCCGGAGCUUAACUUCGGAAUUGCCUUUGAAACGGGGUCGCUAGAGUCCGAGAGAGGAUGGCGGAAUUCCUAGUGUAGAGGUGAAAGUCGUAGAUAUUAGGAAGAACACCGGUGGCGAAGGCGGCCAUCUGGCUCGGUACUGACGCUCAGGCGCGAAAGCGUGGGGAGCAAACAGG
RNAcentral lists this ribosomal RNA (253 nucleotides) under uncultured bacterium. RNAcentral's name for it is "partial 16S ribosomal RNA". It matches the Rfam family "Bacterial small subunit ribosomal RNA", at positions 524 to 776 of the family's 1533-position model. The record is from RNAcentral.